UGGUGGAUUGAUUUGUCUGGCUAAUUCCGUUAACGAACGAGACCUCUGCUUGGAGUUUGUCUUUGGCACCUUUUAUGGGGUCAUUGAAUCCCCAGGACCACGUGCGGCAAGCGCGAGGAAGUUGGAGGCAAUAACA
Molecule: ribosomal RNA, 136 nt
Filed under: uncultured eukaryote
Lineage: Eukaryota
Description: partial 18S ribosomal RNA
Rfam family: Eukaryotic small subunit ribosomal RNA
Source: RNAcentral